RNAcentral lists this ribosomal RNA (253 nucleotides) under uncultured bacterium. RNAcentral's name for it is "partial 16S ribosomal RNA". It matches the Rfam family "Bacterial small subunit ribosomal RNA", at positions 524 to 776 of the family's 1533-position model. The record is from RNAcentral.
UACGGGGGGGGUAAGCGUUGUUCGGAAUUACUGGGCGUAAAGGGCUCGUAGGCGGCCAACUAAGUCAGACGUGAAAUCCCUCAGCUUAACUGGGGAACUGCGUCUGAUACUGGAUGGCUUGGAUUCGGGAGAGGAAUGCGGAAUUCCAGGUGUAGCGGUGAAAUGCGUAGAUAUCUGGAGGAACACCGGUGGCGAAAGCGGCUCUCUGGGGUAUUGCUGACGCUGAGGCACGAAAGCCAGGGGAGCGAACGGG